Molecule: ribosomal RNA, 253 nt
Filed under: uncultured prokaryote
Description: partial 16S ribosomal RNA
Rfam family: Bacterial small subunit ribosomal RNA
Source: RNAcentral
ACGAAGGGUGCGAGCGUUGUUCGGAAUUACUGGGCGUAAAGGGUUUGUAGGCUGAAAGAUAAGUCAAGUGUGAAAUCCCCGAGCUAAACUUGGGACGUGCAUUUGAAACUGUUUUUCUUGAGUUUCGUAGAGGGUGGUGGAAUUGUAGGUGUAGGAGUGACAUCCGUAGAGAUCUGCAGGAACAUCAGAGGCGAAGGCGACCACCUGGCCGAUUACUGACGCUGAGGAACGAAAGCGUGGGGAGCAAACAGGA